This 400-nucleotide ribosomal RNA is filed under the name uncultured bacterium. RNAcentral describes it as "bacterial SSU rRNA". It matches the Rfam family "Bacterial small subunit ribosomal RNA", at positions 355 to 772 of the family's 1533-position model. The record is from RNAcentral.
UGGGGAAUAUUGGACAAUGGGCGAAAGCCUGAUCCAGCAAUGCCGCGUGAGUGAUGAAGGCCUUAGGGUUGUAAAGCUCUUUUACCCGGGAUGAUAACGACAGUACCGGGAGAAUAAGCUCCGGCUAACUCCGUGCCAGCAGCCGCGGUAAUACGGAGGGAGCUAGCGUUGUUCGGAAUUACUGGGCGUAAAGCGCGCGUAGGCGGCUACUCAAGUCAGGGGUGAAAGCCCGGGGCUCAACCCCGGAAUUGCCUUUGAAACUAGGUAGCUAGAAUCUUGGAGAGGUCAGUGGAAUUCCGAGUGUAGAGGUGAAAUUCGUAGAUAUUCGGAGGAACACCAGUGGCGAAGGCGGCUCACUGGCUCGACACUGACGCUGAGGUGCGAAAGCGUGGGGAGCAAA